This 13645-nucleotide long non-coding RNA is filed under the name Gallus gallus (chicken). Lineage: Eukaryota; Metazoa; Chordata; Aves; Galliformes; Phasianidae. The record is from RNAcentral.
CAAAAGCACACUCUUUGCUACUCCUUCUAUUCUGUGUGUGGUUUUGAAAACUUACACUAGUAAAAAUGCUGUAUCUGAAUGUAACUUCUUGCAGCACACCUUUCCAGACAGGGAAAAAAAAUGCCAAGAAAUUAACCAGGAGAUUUUGACAUGUGUCUUCUGAACAGCAAGCUAAUUCUCAGCUUCCACACUUUGUGCUAUUUGAAUUGCGCUUUGCAGUCACAUGCUUCAAGCUAAUUGCUCCCAUGCAAAGCCUGUAGGAAGCAGAAAAGCAAAGUUCCUGUGGCAUAGUGACUGUUCUGGAGAAUGCUGUCAGUGAAUUUUCCAUUGCUGGGCACAUAUAAUGAAUGAGAAAAAGUGCAGAGAGCCUAAAGGAUCCCAGGGUGCUUAUGAAUACUUUAAUUCAUUACUGGAAUGAAUUCUCUUUUCAAUAAAUUAUGAGGUAAGUCUAACAGAAGUCGAAGUGAUAAGUCCAGAAUUGUUACAGGCAAGAAAAGAAUGUGUUGUUUUUUCUCUUUUUCUUUCCAUUUAGAAAUGCAAUUGUGCUAUUAUAUUUGUUAAAAAGCAUUUUGAUGUGUUCUCCUUCAUGAGACCAAUGUGUCUAUGCAUACUUGAAAUGAACCAAUUUUAUUCAUUGCUCUGUGUUGAUUAGAAUGAAAGUCUCUGUGGGAGAGGGAAACUGAAGUUAUGAAAGGCAGCCCCAAGCCUUCUAGAAGUUGCACUCUUGCUAAACCAGCAAUUAGUGGGUAAUUUCAUGAGUUACUGAGUGAAGCUGGUAAGGUGUGGGUUAUGCGGGUGGUAUAAUGAUGUCUUUUGGGCUUGUAACCCAUAAUUCUGUCUGUUCUCUUGCUUUUUUUAUGGGGGUUAUAACUCCACUGAAGCUAGUUUUCUAUGGGUGUUGUAAUAUCCAGAUAGAGCACAUGACUGAGAAAUGCUGUGUAAGUUUAAAGUAGACACAGCUGUAAAGGAACAAUAGAAAACAGACGACAAGUAUGUUGACAUCUCAGGGCUCCAAAAGUGGAAAAGCUGGAAAUCUGAAGGUGGAGGUGUUGAUAGUGCAAGGAGGCUGAAGAAACCCUAGGGAAACUGGAAACUGUGGAAAACUGUGAAACUAUUUAUGCUGUAGCUUAUUGAAGAAGUAAGAUAAAUGUGGGAGAAUGUUUAACCAUCUAACUACUUUUAAAAGAGGUCUCAUCCUGCAAGGGGAAGUCCACCAGCCUAGGGGAAAGGAAGAGAAGGAAGGGGAGAGCAGAGAUGAGGUAUGGAUAGCUUCCCUGCUUCAAGAAGAGAGACAGUUAAAAAUUCCAAAACUGAAACAAAAUAUUUUGCUUCAGAUAUGGAGUCUAAUACAUUCUGUGUGUCUUAUUCAGACUGGGCCUACAUGCCUAGGAAGAUAAUGCCUUAUAGCACACUAUAGUUUCUGUGCCAUAUACUAUCUUAUUAUAUCUAUUAUCCUAAUCUGCCCUAGUUUCAGCUGGGACAGAGUUGAUUUUCUUCAUAGCGUCUGGUAUGAUGCUAUGUUUUGGUUUUAGGAGAAAAGCAACAUUGAUAGCACACUGAUGUUUCUAAUUGUUGCUCAGCAGCUCUUCAUAAAGCCAAGGCCAUUUUAGUUUUCUUGGUGACGCUCUGGGGAUAGAAUCAGUACACAUGACUUAAACUGGCUGAAGGGAUAUUCCAUACCACACGACAUCAUGUGGAAGGAAAGUUUUGAAAGGGUUGGAAGUUCAUCAGACUUCCAUCCACUGCUCAGGGCCUAGCUGGGCAUUCAUUGGUGGAUUGUUUGUACAUUACUUGAUAUGCAGUCAUAUGUAUAUUCCUCAUUUUCAGUCUUCAUUUUCUCUUAUUAAAUAGUUUUGUCUCAACCCAUAAGUUCUACAUUUUUUUGAUUCUCUGCCCCGUCCCACUAGGAAUAAGGGGAGUGAAUGAAUGACUGUGUGGUGCUGAGCCACCCGCUGGGUUAAACCACAGCAGUCUGUGCUGAAGAGAACUAAAUCAGUGACGCUCUCAGAUGAGAUGAACUUAUUAAUUUGAAUGUUCUGUCCUGUGUCCAUUUGCAUCACAAAUGGUGGGAGUUUUUUAAAAGUUCCAAGAAUAAAAUACAUAUAAUUCCAGGGAAAAAAAAGACUGAAUUUCAGAAUGAAUGGAAACUGCUGAAAAACAUAGGUUUGGAAAAUAUGGUUCUACUUCAAAAGCACUUAGAAACAAUCUGAAUGAUUAAUAGGUUAAAAAAAUAUUUCCUAUGGCUUUCAGAUAUUCUAUCUCCCUUGGCCCUUAUUAUAAAUUACUGUUUUUGUAUGAACACAAUCUUUAUUCCUUUGAAUAAAUAUACAGAACUUUAUACUACUCUCAGCCUUCAGGAUUUUACAGAUAUUUUUAUGGGUAUGGUUGAUCAUUUUUCAAAAACAAUUCUGCCUCUGGGAUGUUUAGUAUAACGUUAUUAAUCAUUAUAUAGAUAGGUUUUCUUGAAAUAUUGGUGCUACUAUCUAUCUGGCUUGAGGCAAGCAAGCUAGAAAUAACAUCUGUGAUUCUCAGUUAGUAACUGCCAACCUCUUCACCCUUGUCCCACACUAUUUUGGAAAAAUCAUAGAAUCAGAAUCAUAGAAUUGCUCAGAUUGGAAAAGACCUUAAAGAUCGUCAAGGCCAACUGCAACCUAACCAUACUACCCUAACUCUAACAACCCUCCACUAAAUCAUGUCUCUGAACACCACAUCUGAACAGUCUAUAAACACAUUCAGAGAUUACCUCUUGUAAUGAAAAGGAGAGCCCUCUCAGAGUUGUAUAGGUGUGGCACCAGUGUACCAGCAAAUCUGCUCCUGCUAAGCCUAUUCCUGCCAGAUUCUGAUGCUCAGCACCUUUUUACUAGCAGAAAUAGGCCCAAACCAAAAUUCUCAGCACAAGGCUUCUCAGUUUCAAGGAUGUUCUAUGUUACCAGUAUUUGAAGUUCGGGCCUGUUAAGUUUCCUUAUCUGUGUUAUGCAAUACUUCAGGUAGGAGUAACUGAAUAAAUUAGGAGUAAUUUAGCAAUUAAUUAGGAGUAAUUUAGCAAUUAACUGAAAUGCAACAUUAAUGAUUGCCUGUCUUUGCCAUUCAUAAGUAAUUGAUAUGAUUUUUCCGGAAGUAACGAAUUCUUUAGUGGUAGAAAAUGUGAGAGAGUGCUCUUUUUGUUAAUCAGAAUUCAUUUCCAGGUGAAAUAGAAGGAAAUUGUGUGUAGGUGUGUCUGGCUUAAUCAAAGUAUUUUUUGAGAUCAUAGGAAAUUCCCAAAAAUGCUACCUGCGGUAGGACUUCCCAGAUAUGACACCAAAGCUUUUCAUGAACUUUCAGAGUUUAGAAGCAGGCCAUUUAUCACAGAAGAAGAAAUAAUGUUUUUCGAAUGAAACACUGCAUCUAGCUUAAAAUAACAAGGAACAGUGGAAUCAAUCACUUGAUUCCUUGUGUCCUUAAUAAUGAAAAAAAUUGUCCUUGUUGCUGACAUCACUGAAAACAAUACCUUUUAUGUCAGCAGCCUAGGAGUGAACUGUGAAAUUUAUUUAGAAGGUGCUAAAUCUUCAAAACACAAAGCAGUUUCUGCAGUGUACUGAAUGCCUUUGUUUCCCUCUUGAUCAUAGGGUUAGGCUCAGCAUCAUGAACAACUGUCUGUUAUGUGGCCUCUCCAUCUAGGAAUCAUUUAGAGCUCAUCAGAACAAAAUUUCCAUGUGGGAAGAAGAAAGCUUUCAGAAGUGAUUCUGUUGCCCCCAGUAUUUAGAUCAGAGCUGAAAUUAUAUCUGCUGUUGCAGUGCUUUGUUUUGCAAAGACCCUCAUAAAUUUAUCCUCCCAUUUCCCCCUAAUGAUAGUCUAGUUUUGGUCCUGUCACUAAGUUUGCAGAGUAUCCCUGCUCUGAUGGCUUGUAAGCCUCUUCUGACUUCUAGCCUACAGCUUGUCCUGUUCAUCUUUUGCACAUCUAUUCAUAAUCUACCAUUGUCUUUCAGUUGAAUGGCUAUGUACUGUUGUCUCCUUUAUGUCUGUCCUCAUAAUAAUUUCUAUUUCAGGCAGCACACAUAUUCCUUCAGUUUUUAUCCUGCUUACCUAAACAAGUUAAAAUUGUUUACUUUUUUCUUGUAAACAGGGCAGUACUAAGUACUCUAGAUAAAACCUCACUGCUACUAUGUACAAUGGCAUUAAUACUUCCAUAUCUUAUCUAAAAGUAUCUGUUUAGAAUAAUUUUAAGGAUCAUGUUAGCAUUUUUAUUGCCACAUUGCUUUAGUGAUGUUGUUUUCCUUAAACGGGAACUGCUGGCUUCAUAUAUAUAGUGAUAUAGUUUUAACAGAAUCAAGAUUUCACCCACUGCCUUUGCUUUAUUUUUAUGAUUUUGUCAUUUAGCGACUUGUCUACUACAUGUUUUGACAUUACUUAUCCCUUGUCAUACUUCUGACGCACACGCACAAGCAAAACAAAACAAAAACAAAUCAAAAAACCAAAAAAUAAAAAAACCCACCAUAAAUAAGUCACAAAGUAAACAUGGAACAGAACAACCAAGUUCUUUGCUGCUGUUAUUUCUUCAGCAGUCAGAAGCAGAGGACUGGUCUUUGCUAAAAUUUAGAAAGCAGAAACAGCAGAGUAGUUCUUGCUGAAGUCAGAAAGAACUCAACAAUUCAUAAAUCUAGAGACCUAAACACCGGCUGUACUUGCUUUAAAAUACAUAAGUACAGCUUAGAGGGGAUGAGAAGUCAAUUUUCAGAAUAAGGAGACACCAGAGCUAAGUAAAUACAUGGAAAGACCAGACACUAAGGAAGGAUAUAAAAAUGUGGAGGUAUCUCAAAAGAAAUCAUAAUCAACAAAUACAGAAACAGACAUUAUUGGAAAAACAUUGCAGUUCCAUGAAAUCUUAACAAGCCAAGCCACAAGUCUAUAGCUGCAGCAGCUGUUCAUUUCACAGCCAUGGAAGACGUGAUGCUUGAAGAUACGCCAACAAAGUACAGAAGACAAAUGUGAAUCCACUUUUAAUUUUUUUUAUUUUUAAAACAAUACUUUGCUCAUUGUAAAAUAAUACCUUAGAGAGAAAUUACUUGCCUAUUUAGACUCUGGGCCUAGCAAGCAUACUGGCAGUAAACUGCUUUGUUACUGCUACUGCAUAGUCUUAUUUCAUUUAUGAAGAGAACCAUGGUGAUGCUUCAGAACUGAUUACUUCAUCUAAUUUAGCAUGCAUGAUUCAAAAAAUUUAAACUCGAACAGGCUACAGACAAGCAAAGAGCCAUUCCUGCCUGCUCUGUGCUUGUUCUGGACAUUUUGUCAGUAGGCGCUACCAUGGCACAGGAAAGGAGAAUACUUGCACAGAGGCUUUUAAUUAGUUCUUCAUUUAUUUUGAUUAUGGAAAUAUUUUUUUCUUCUUCUGCCUUCCAGUGGGCAGAAGGCAAAUAGCUUCCAGAGUACUGAUGCUAAUAUACAUACAAAGAAGGUGGUUCUGACUAGUUGAUGGUGACUGGUCAGUAUCAAAUCUAAAUGUCUGUGAAACUUAUUUUGAACUAACUUAGAUCAGAGUUUGUGCUUUUCAGUAGGCCUUGGAGCUAUUGCAGAUUUUUUUGAUUAAACCCACUAUGCAUGCUAAUGCUAAAGAAUAUAUAGUCAGUCUAUAGUCUCUCAUUUCCAUGCUAAGAUGAAUAGAAAUCAUUGGUUUUCAGAAGGUGAUGGAGAGGGUGUUAACCUUCAAGAGAUCAUUGUAGUUUGAAAAGCAGAGUCUGAAAAUUCUGAAAAAAAAAACCUAUAGUGUACAAAUGUCUUCAAGUAUAUAAGAGUCAGGUCUGUUGUUGAACAAAAGCAACAUGCACAGGCUGUUUCAUCAUCUGACUUCUUAAAAAGGCCAUGCUCUGUGGCUGGAAAUUAAUAACAUAUUGAAGCUCUUGAAGUUGAUGAUAUGAGAGAAAUGAAUUACCUCUGGAACUAAUACAAAACUAUUUCAGUUAAUGUUAUCUCCUACUCUACUUCAAGAACUUAACCCAAAGCUGACCCAAAACAUAAUACCAUCUUUGUAAAAUCUCUAGUUUCUGUUGGAAGAAAUACAGUGAGACUUAAGAUACAUGCAUUCUCUUAAUCUGAAGUACUUCCCUCCAGAAAGUUCUUUUUUGAGAGUGGCAGAGCUGCACAGGGAAGUCUGAAUGAGCUACCUUUGAGUGCACAGGACACUGCUUUGAGAGUUACCUUUCUCCUAUGUCAUACCGCUAUUUGAGAAAGACCUCGUCUCUGCAGAGAUAUGUGAUUUUGCACUAAUCCUGCAGAAGAGGCACUGCCCAAUCAUUCCAGCAGUCCCCAUCAGUGGCAGUUCCUUUGGGUAGGUGGUCAUAAAGCAAGCCAGCAGCAGUGAGAUCUUCAAGUUAUUUGGUUUUCUACAAAGUAAAUAUUUGGUCUCCUACAAAGUAAGUAUGUGCAUUCAGGGACAGAUAAUGGUUUGGAGGACAUGCACAUUGAUGCAGUACAGAGAGGACUACAGAAGGCAUUAGGUCAUUUGCUUAAGUCUAUUUCAGAUCUCUAACUAGUCUCUGUAUCUCUGAGCUCCUGAAAUAUUGAGUCAAUCACUCUGUUUUUGAUCAGGGCAAGCUUUACUAAUGUCUUUAUAGAGCACAUAUGGACCUGUCACUGGACUCUUUAACUGACACAUUUACAGUAAUCAUUCGUCUGGCACACAGGCAUUAGCACAUAAAACACUAUGUUUGCAAAGUUAAUUUUAAUAAUAAGAUAUUAAAAAUGUUCAGCAGACUUCCCCACGUUUUUGCAGAAAAGAAGUCUGUGGGGUAUCACAUUUGCUUGUAACAGGGCACAAGAAAUGAACAGCAGUCAUCAACUGUGACCUGUUGGAGAGAAGUGGUUCUCUCUUUAUUGAUAGGGCAGCUAUAUGGAUUUACUUUUUUGUGGAAUGGUGAAUUGGACUGGCCAAGCUUCACAUCCACCUUACUUUCAUUUCUGUGUAUUCCACAGAAUGUGACUGGUCAUUACUAAAAUACUGUUUUGUUCCUUGUUCCAAGGGUUCUGCUGGCACAAAAGUUUGUCAGUUUUGCAAAGGUUUAACAUAAAGAUAUGAGGUUUGCCUUCCUGGUGAAUUAUACAGAAUGCUUUGGAAACGUUUGGAAACCUCUGGAUGUGCAAUGCUUUAUUUUUCCUGCAGUAUUUGAAGCUCUUGAAGAGGUGUCCUCCCAUCAUUAAGUGCUGCCAUACAGGCUCCUUGUGUCUCAGUAGAAUUGCCAUUAUUUAGGCAGCAAAGAGGUGCUCCAUGUUUCCAUUUCUGUCUUAUAGCUUCUGAUUACUUGAAUGCAUGUACCUAGCUAAGAGGCAACAAAGUAUGGUACAAGCUGAUUUGUACUCAUCUCAGCUAAAAUGUUUUGAUUUUCAUGCUUUCCAGUAGUAGCAAUUUGUGCUUAAGGGUCAGUAGCAUAGAUAAUUUUUAAAAGCUUUUAAAACCACUUAUUUUGACAAGAUUGAGCAGAAAUAAAAAAAUAAAAAUAAAAAUGUCAGAGGCCUUGAACAACCCCAUAUACAAUGUAAGGGUGAAAAAUAGCACAGGAAAGAUGUUCGUGCAGGAAUGUUUUAGCAGGGAAAUUAUUAAAUAAAGCAAAAAUCUCCUCCAGUGACAGAGAAAUGCCUUAUCUUUCUUAACAAGCAUUGUGAGCAAACCUGUUUCGAGGUACAAGUUUCUAGCUUCUCAUUUCUAGAUACUAAGAAAAAAAAAUUACAAAAUUGCAAAAAGAUUGGGAACAAAAGCAAAACUUGUGAGAAAAGCAUUCUUAGUUUUGUGUCCUUGUUCUGGAAAAAAGAUCCCUUUUGCAGCACUUCUUGGCAACCACUUAAUUAAUACAUGACUGAAGAUCUACUGCAAGGGAUAAUCAUUCAUAUAUUGUACAUAGCUCUUCCUGUAUGAGUUAUCCCUGCAUUUCUUACAUGGUUUGACAAACAGUUGAAUUACUGACAUUUAAAAUAUCCUUAUUAUCAUCAGACUUAGCACAGGUAGAAAUAAAUAAAAUCCUCUUACACCUUGUCUUGUUAUUUCAGGUGUCCUGUAAAUUCAGACAGUAAGUUACAUUUUUGAGGUUUUCUUUGUAAAUAGAAGCUCUAUACACUGACAUGUUGAAAAACAGCAUUCUCCUUCCCUAAAAUAAAACAAAAUACAGUUGAGUAUCUGGAGAACAUUUAAGAUGUCUGGACAGAGAGCUACAUGUGCACAUAAACAGAAAGCAAACUGACAAAAGAUUGUUUAUUUCUGAUAGUAGUUGUUUCUAAUGCCUGGAUGUUUUUACAUUUUAAAGAUAACAACAUUUUUUUCUGCAGAGGUAUCUGGAUUACUGAUGUUCCAUCACAUAUGUAGUGACUAAAUAAAGGUUGACAGAGCUAUUUCACAGUUAAAGUGUAAGAGGACAAAAGAGGGCAAAAUGAUAGGAUUUUGGUUUUGAACUACUAUCCAGAAAAAUAAAAACACCCAAAGAAGGAGUACCAGGUUUUCAGUAAUUAACUCCUCACAGAAUUCUGCAAGAAAGAUAUACACCUAUCUGAAAUACAAGACUAUGAAGAAUGUUAUUCUGAAUGUAAAUGUAUUCAGUACAAGAUUUCAUUUUUUUGAAUGAAUCUUGGAAGGUCUGGUAGAUGUAACUGUAUUCUCUCAACCAUUCAAUAGAAAGUCAAGGAAGCUAACAGAUAUAGAUUGCAUUUAUGCCAGUCUGAUUAUAAAUUCCUGCCUAUCCUCAGAUGGAGGACAAGCAAGUGAAGUUCCAUAGCUAUAGCUCAGAUGAAACCCAAUAGUCAAAAUGUUGAAGAUGGGAACAUAGGUAGCUUGGGCAGCAUUUUUCCACCUGUAUUAUCAAUUGAAGGGAGAAAUUGUUGCAGGCCCACCUGUUGAUUUAUAAUGUGUUGCAGAAAAAAAAACAGAAGAAAGGAUGGAGGUCACCUGGGGAAAGAAAAAUCUGAGGUCCAGAGGUAUUUUCUGUUGACUUCAGUGAAGAGCGACAUUGAGAAAGCUGUUAAGCCUUGUCACAGAUACUUAAAAUAAAUUCAGGUCAAGUUGAGUCAAACUGCUCAUAUUAACUCAUUAAAAAGUCUGUUCUCUUGGAAAAAAAGUGUGCAUAGCUUUAUUGUGUUAGGUGGAAAAAUGUGUGUAGUAGUUUCAAACUAUUUUGUUUCAUUACACAAAGUUGAUCUUACCAUCUUGGAUUGUACACAUCAUAUGAUUUUUUCAGAUCAUAGUGCAUUUGAUAUGGCAGACAUGGAAUGUAGACUCAUAACCAUGCUUGCAGUUAACUGUGGGAAAAAAAGUAUAAAAAUUAACUAUCCUUUUAAUUUUUUUCAAAAUAACUAUCUGGUUUCUACCUCAUAAAAUUUCAAAAUAGCAAAGUUGAGCAAAGUGAUCCCAAAUCUAUUGACAGCAGUUUGACUGAAAACUUAAACCAACUACUUUUGUAGUAGUAGAAACUGACAUCUUACUUGUUAAAAUAGUUGCAGAGAAAUGGAUGGACAGAUGAAGUAUCACAGGAAUCUGCACAUAUUUUAUGUACUGAGAAUUUGCACUAGUUCAAAAAGGAGAUUCUGGGUAUGCCUUAAUGAGAAAGAUUGGUCAUAAGAGACAGUAAAGAUCCAAAUCCUGUGAGCAUCAAUGUUUGGUGAGAUACUUGUAUCCAGUGGGUAACAUAGGAAUAUCUAAGACCCAGAGUGGUGGUAAACAAACCAGCUAGCUGCUGAUUUGAUCUGGAAAGUUUAAGGCAUAUCACAGAUGAAAAGGAUUGAAAUGGUUGAUCACUUUCUCUUGUGAAAGUGAGGACUCAUAAGAGCAGUAAAGCGCUGCAUGACCUAGAAAGCCCAGGGCAGGGCUAGUAGCAGUGCCCUAAUAUGUACUGUACUAUUUCUGAAGCAGGUUAGUUAGCUUCUAUGCCUAUUUUUGCAUGACAUGAUAUUCGGCCAAAAAAGUAACCUUUACUCAGAGGGGAAAGAAGGGAUAAAUAGUUCACUUAAUAAAUGCAAUUUUUUUCCCAAACAAUAAGGCAUUUUCCUUUGGCUUUUCCUUUUGCAUGCCAAGAGGCUCCUUUCAAAAAAGUAUGGAAAGGACACAAAACAUGUGAACACAACUUGUCCCUCCAGCAUUCUGUGCAGAGCUCAAAAGAAAAAAAAAACAAACCACAAAGUGAUGAAGAAACAAGAUCUGACUGACCAGCUUUUCAUUCCAGAAUUUAAAACAAUAACCUGGAGCAAAAGCUUAGCAAAGAAGGUCAGCUGGAGUGUUGCAGGGAACAGAAGGGCUGGCAGUUUUAGAGGCACCUCACUUUCACAGAACCAGAUGAACAAAUUACUGCCUGUGUAUGACUGAGCAGAAGAUUGUAGAGACUUGAGCUAGGUGCCUCUGAGUGCAGCUGAAGCACUGCUUGCUUUUCUGAGCCAACAAAAUACUCAUUAGCUCGUCCACAUUUGUGUGAGGGAAGCUGAGCUGGCGCGAUCACCGCUGGGGGGAGGGGGAGGAGAGCAGAUGUCGGGGGAGAGCAGGGACCUCUGAGAUAUGAUGUUGGUAGGAAGGGCCAAGGAUCUUAAGUCAGCUGAGUCAGCAUUAUAUGCUCUGUCUCCUACUCCAUAAAGGUGGCACACGUUCCAGCCAAGCUGCAAUUAGGCUAAGGCAGAUAACACUCAAGUGAAAACUGAGCUUGAAAAUUCCUAUUAUUCUUUGUUCAUUCCAGAAAAAAAUUCUGUGACAUGACUCUGAGGGCUGAGAGAUUGGAGGAAGCAUAUUUUCUGACACUGAAGAGAAAUCAAUUUGGCUGAAUAAACCAGAGAGAAGAGCAUGCCUCUCCUUACAGUUUAUUAUCCUAAUAACCAUUGCUAUGCACUUUAAAGCAAUAUCCUACGUGCUAAAUAUCAGCAGUGAACUCUUUGGUGCCCAGAAAGUGAGGAAUGUGCAGAUCAUAUCCUGAGAAAUUCUAUCUAAAACAUCGCUGCUGCAAGCUAGAAAGAAAGAAGACUAAAGGUUUGCAGGUUCUGCUUUCUGAUACCAAACUACUCCAACUCAGAUCAUUGCUGCAAUCCACAGAAUCAAGAAGAGCAUUUCCAUUGUGUUCAUUUUCCUGUGGUGUGGGCACAAGAAAUGCCUAAGGUAUGGGUACCUUUGUGACCAUAGCUCAUCUAGGCAGGUGCCCUGGCAAGCUCAGCUCCUGAGCCCAGCCCAUAGCCAGCAGCACUCCAGGAGGGCAGUGGGAGCUGCCCACAGCUCCAUGCUCCCUCCCACCUCCCAGCCCUGUGGGCUGCUGGCCUCCUCAGUGUGCUGGGAGCUCAAGCUGGGUGGGAGCACCGUGGGGAACCCAGCCAGUUGUGCUGAGCACUGGUGAGGGACAGCGCAUUUUGCUGUCUAGAAGAAAAAUGUUGUUAUGUCUAACAUUUAAUGCAGUGCUGGCACCAUGAAGCUGCAGGCAGAUUUGUUUAUUUGACAGGCUCUGCUAACUUGACUUUCUAAGGGUAAAAACCUACAUUCCUAUUUGGAAAGGAUUCCUGAAGGUGGAGCAACCGCAUGGAUCAGCAGUCUCUCAGGAGGGUUGGCAAGGUGUGCUUGGACAUGGCCCAGCCCAAGGCCAACAUGUCACAGCCUAAUGCAACAAGUCGUUUUGCUUGUUCUUGCCAGAGCCUCCCAAAAGCACGGUCCUGUGCAUGCAUCUUGUUGCUUUCUUCCAUUAUUAUAUCAGUAAGUUUCAGCCAUUGUGGAAUCAAAAAUGGGAGUUACUUGAAAAAUAUUUCUUGUUUCUCCUGGUUAGGGAGUCAUGCUGGUUAAAUUAUAUCUUCAAGGGAAGAAAUGCUUGCAGAUACUGUUGAUGACUCAGUUGGUUUAUAAGACAGACUGUUGUUUUAAAGGCAGUGUGUGCUUGUUCAGUGGACACCCUCGGUGCCAUCAAAUGUUAGUAACACUGACCAAAAAAGGUAUUUCAUCUUGGAUUUGAGAAAGUAUAAAUAUUUACAUGAAAGGAAAAACAUAGCUGUAGUUUCAAAAGGCCAGUGGAAAAACAGUAAGCUCCAUCAUAUCUAGAACUGGAACUUUAUAAAACACCUUUAAUACAAUAAAUAUCCAUCCUGUUUGUUGAAAUGAACUGCAUGUGCUAUGUCUGUAAGGUCUGCAAGGAGAACCAUUGAUAUAUGAGGUAAGUAUUAUGAAGACUUUGUAAGAGUAGAGGAAGUUUGUGCCAGGAAAGACUGUUUCUCCAAGUCUCAUCGCACCAAUAUUAAAAGUGAUUUUUUGCAUCAGCAGACACCGUGAAAGCAGAGCUGGAUCUCAGAACUGGGAAUAGGCAGUAGAGCCAUAUCAGAAAAUAGGGUAUAAAGAGCCAGAAACUAAUGAUGAAAACUGAGCAAGGAGAAACAGGAUCCAGGGAGAAGUCAAAACUGUAGGCUCCAGAAUCUCCUUAAAAGAUUUUUUAUAAGGCAUUCUCCUGCUAUCUAACUAAUGAUUUUGGCAGUGAAGAAGGAAUACUGUCCCACUUGUCCCCAAGCUGCUCAGGUUCUCUCAACCCCUACCAGGGAGUUGGUUGAGUCACUGUCCCUGGAGGUGUUAAAAAAUAUAUUUGAAUUUUGUACUGACGGACAUGGUUUAGUGGGGAAAUAUUGGUGGUAGGUGAAUGAUUGGACUAGGUUGUAUGGGAGGUCUUUUCCAACCUUGGUGAUUCUAUAAUUCUGUGAUUUGCAGUAUGUACAUUUUUUCUGUCUAUGUUGAAAGGAAUGAACCAUAAAAAUUAAUUUGUUCCACGUACAUAUUUACAGGAAUUUUAAUGAAGUAGCUGUUAAUUUGAUCUGUACCUUGAGCCAGCUGUAUCAUACAAGCCCAGUUUCUGUGUAAUAAAAGUGUGUGCAACACUAUAUAUCUUUAGAUAUGUGAAAAUACUUUGAAGAUAAAUAUACACAGAAAGAUAAACACAUGCAGACAAACUCACAGAAUGGAAAAUAUAAAGCAUUCUAUAUAGUAUACAUCUGACCUACACUGACUACACAUGCAGAACGUUCAGCUUCCUAUGGUUAAAUGAAUAGUACUAAAGAAUUUUAACUAUCAGUCUCAAUUGAAUCUCUUUAAGUUUCCUGAAACAUUUAAAACUGUGAGUGGAAUCUCAUGCUUCCUAUGCUAAAUUUAAUUUGGAACACAAGCUAAUGGAAAUAUAGUUAAUUUAAGCCAAAGUUUGAAAGGAUUUUGCAAUCCGUAAACAAUAUAAAGUGGUUACAGCCUUGAAUAUUUAGCCUCUGAGGUAGCAUGUAUUUGCCUCUAUUUUGUGAUUGUCACCCUACUCAUUAGCAGUAAAGGAUUUUAUUAGUUUGUUUAAGAACUGGAAUACAUUCAGUCUUUCCAAAUGAAACCUGCUACUAGUGACAUAACAGAAAUAAGCAAAAUAAAACAAAUUUAGUAGCAUCUUAAGUCUGACAACACUGAAAGUUAGUCAUCUCACAUGAUUCAUGCACAAAACACUGCGGAUGACAAGGUCCUCCUUAAUGACAAAAAUACCAGGGAAGAUGUGCAGCUUUCAGCUACCAUAUGAUUUUCCCUGCCUUUCAAGAAUGAAAGCAGCAACUUUGCUGUUUGUCAACUUCAAAUGAUCUGGUUGGAAGCUACUACUACUGUCUUUUUCUUCAACAGGACACAAUCCCUUGGCUUUUCCUCUCACUUUCAUUAUUAUAUGUCAGA